AACCUUUCUUGGCCUUCUGGCUAAGAUCGAGUGUAAUAUCUGUUCUUAUUAGUUUAAUUUAACAUUUGAUACGUGGGCCAAUGGCCCACAUGUAUUAAAUUUAUUUUUUUGAGGGGCAGGGUCCACCGUAAUAGCUUGUUAUUGGGCUUCUUGUGUGUUGCACUAUAGCCUGCCUGGCACACCCCAC
This is a small nuclear RNA of Cornus florida, 187 nucleotides long. RefSeq annotates it as U2 spliceosomal RNA. The transcript has a single exon. NCBI's taxonomy places the organism in Eukaryota, Viridiplantae, Streptophyta, Magnoliopsida, Cornales, Cornaceae. The record is from RefSeq and is a predicted model, not a curated record.